AGAGAAGAGCUUCCGGUUUGUAAAGAAGGUGACUUGACAAUGGAUCAGUUGGUGGAGCUAACCAGCAAAGGAUGUGGGUGCUUUCUUGUGGUUGUUUCAUGAUCAUCGCUUGAUGGGUACAUACACUGAUGGAGAUAUUCGCCGGACUCUUAAAGCAAGUGGAGAAGCUAUCUUCAAACUCAGUGUUGGAGAAAUGUACAACACGAAGCCGAGGACAAUUGGACCAGAGACAAUGGCAGUUGAGGCUAUGAAGAAAAUGUAGUCACCUACAUCGCCUGUACAGUUUCUACCAGUGGUCGAUGAAGACAGUAUGUUGAUUGGAAUUAUUACAUUGCAUGGUUUGGUUUCACCUGGCCUCUGAACACGAAGCUGCCUCUAUGUCCGAGUUAUACGCAUAAGUUCAUUAUUUUUACAUAAACCAAGAUCCAGAUUAUUGGUGUAUUGUUGGUGAUGUUGAAUUGUAUUGUGUCUAGUGGUGCUCCCAUGUAUUGUACUCAUUCACCAUUUAAACAAAAGAUAUGUAUAGAGUAUAAGAAGAUUCUUAUUA
Brassica rapa (field mustard) is the source of this 547-nucleotide long non-coding RNA. RefSeq lists it as uncharacterized. Lineage: Eukaryota; Viridiplantae; Streptophyta; Magnoliopsida; Brassicales; Brassicaceae. The record is from RefSeq and is a predicted model, not a curated record.